GAUGAAAACGUAGCGAAAUGCGAUAAGUAAUGUGAAUUGCAGAAUUCAGUGAAUCAUCGAAUCUUUGAACGCACAUUGCGCCCGCCAGUAUUCUGGCGGGCAUGCCUGUCUGAGCGUCAUUUCAACCCUCAUGCCCCUAGGGCGUGGUGUUGGGGAUCGGCCAAAGCCCGCGAGGGACGGCCGGCCCCUAAAUCUAGUGGCGGACCCGUCGUGGCCUCCUCUGCGAAGUAGUGAUAUUCCGCAUCGGAGAGCGAUGAGCCCCUGCCGUUAAACCCCCAACUUUCCAAGGUUGACCUCAGAUCAGGUAGGAAUACCCGCUGAACUUAAGCAUAUCAAUAAGCGGAGGA
Molecule: unclassified non-coding RNA, 347 nt
Filed under: soil metagenome
Description: partial contains 5.8S ribosomal RNA, internal transcribed spacer 2, and large subunit ribosomal RNA
Rfam family: 5.8S ribosomal RNA (bases 1-119)
Source: RNAcentral